GACGUCACCGGCGUGCCCGACGCCGCACGCGCGGGGAGGGCAGGGAGGGCAGCGGGGUCGCCGCCUGCCUCGCCCACCGACGCGCGGGGGAGGGGGGAAACCGAGCCCGGCGGGGGCGGCAGCGCCGAAAGGAAGGCGGGAAGCGGCGCCUCGGCAAGCUUCUUCCCGAAGAUGACACCAGUUACUCGACAAGAAGUUCUUGGCCUUUACCGCAAGAUAUUCAGAAUAGCCAAAAAAUGGCAAUCGGCAUCAGGACAGAUAGAAGAAACUUUUAAAGAGAAAGAGUAUAUUAAAAAUGAAGCCAAAACAUUAUUCCGAAAAAACAAAAAUGUAACAGAUCCAAAGUUGAUUAAGCAGUGUAUAGAAGAAUGUGAGGCAAGAAUAGAAAUGGGACUUCACUAUAACAUCCCCUACCCGAGACCUAUCCAUCUGCCUCCUAUGGGUCUUGCUCAUAAACAAAGCCGUACGUUGCGACACCAGGAAAAGUUAAGGAAGAUUUCUAAGCCAAUAUACCUGAAAUCCCAUGAUGAAGUUUCAUAACCUGUCAUUUAAGCUGUGAUGUGUAAUCACAUAAUUUAAGCUGUGGACUGCAAUUCAGCUUUCAACUACCAAGUCCUUAGCAUACCUGGAAGAAGGCCAAACGACAGAGGAGAUCGGACACAUAACUUCCCAGUGGCUUCAGUGACGGAUAGGAUUUGGCAGCCCACAUUGAUGGUACUUUUCCCAUUAGCACGCUGCUGAAAAUAUCUUCAAGUUCAGAUGACAUCAACACUUGGCCUUUAAUGGCUUUGCCUAAAUUAAUGAGGCUGCUCCGAACAACUUCAGUAAGCCUUCGGAUAAAAUAAAGAAAUUGUCAGGUCUUUAUUUACUUCUUACUACCGAACUAGAGAACUCUGCGUCUGCCUUGAAUGAAGGG
Cuculus canorus (common cuckoo) is the source of this 916-nucleotide RNA transcript. It is a transcript of the gene named LYR motif containing 1, with no coding region annotated. Lineage: Eukaryota; Metazoa; Chordata; Aves; Cuculiformes; Cuculidae. The record is from RefSeq and is a predicted model, not a curated record. The transcript is spliced from 5 exons.